This 487-nucleotide ribosomal RNA is filed under the name uncultured bacterium. RNAcentral describes it as "bacterial SSU rRNA". It matches the Rfam family "Bacterial small subunit ribosomal RNA", at positions 30 to 511 of the family's 1533-position model. The record is from RNAcentral.
AUUGAACGCUGGCGGCAUGCCUUACACAUGCAAGUCGAACGACAGCACGGGAGCAAUCCUGGUGGCGAGUGGCGAACGGGUGAGUAAUAUAUCGGAACGUGCCCGGUCGUGGGGAUAACGUAGCGAAAGCUACGCUAAUACCGCAUACGAUCUACGGAUGAAAGCGGGGGAUCGCAAGACCUCGCGCGAUUGGAGCGGCCGAUAUCAGAUUAGGUAGUUGGUGAGGUAAAGGCUCACCAAGCCGACGAUCUGUAGCUGGUCUGAGAGGACGACCAGCCACACUGGAACUGAGACACGGUCCAGACUCCUACGGGAGGCAGCAGUGGGGAAUUUUGGACAAUGGACGCAAGUCUGAUCCAGCCAUUCCGCGUGCAGGAUGAAGGCCCUCGGGUUGUAAACUGCUUUUGUACGGAACGAAAAGGUUUCUAUUAAUACUAGGAGCUCAUGACGGUACCGUAAGAAUAAGCACCGGCUAACUACGUGCCAG